GCAGUGGUGGUUCAGUGGUAGAAUUCUCACCUUCCAUGCAGGAGACCUGGGUUCGAUUCCCAGGCGAUGCA
This 71-nucleotide transfer RNA is filed under the name Loxodonta africana (African savanna elephant). It matches the Rfam family "tRNA". From Rfam's summary of the family: Transfer RNA (tRNA) molecules are approximately 80 nucleotides in length. Their secondary structure includes four short double-helical elements and three loops (D, anti-codon, and T loops). The record is from Rfam by way of RNAcentral. Lineage: Eukaryota; Metazoa; Chordata; Mammalia; Proboscidea; Elephantidae.